AUGAACAAAAAUCAACAUCUAAAAUACCAAAUCUACAAUUACUUUUUUCGCGCUUCCACCACCUGGACCAUCGGGGAUGGACGGACCUGCCGCUUCUGGAUCAAUCAUUGGAUCAAUGGGUCAUCGGCCACGGAGAUUGCCCCCGCUCUCAUAGCACUUGUGCCGCGCCGGCGGCGGCGCCAAUGCCUCGUCUCCGAGGCCCUGCAAAACUCGCUCUGGAUUGAGGACAUCCAUGGUGCCAUGGGCGCCGCUGCUGCGAUCGAGUACGUCGAUCUGUGGCGACGGAUCCAAAGCAUUCACCCUUCUGCCGAGCCGGACAGAAUCUCUUGGAAAUGGACUAACAAUGGGAUCUACACAACAAGCUCUGCUUACAAAGCCUUGUUCCAUGGAUCGACCGCCAGCCCUUUCUGGCGUCUCAUCUGGCGAUCGUGGGCGCCUGACAACGCCAAGUUCUUUCUCUGGCUUGCCUCGAUGGAUCAUUGCUGGACGGCUGAGCGCCGCGCUCGCCACUGA
This 513-nucleotide ribosomal RNA is filed under the name Triticum aestivum (bread wheat). RNAcentral describes it as "partial small subunit ribosomal RNA". Lineage: Eukaryota; Viridiplantae; Streptophyta; Magnoliopsida; Poales; Poaceae. The record is from RNAcentral.